Penaeus vannamei (Pacific white shrimp) is the source of this 118-nucleotide non-coding RNA. The record is from RefSeq and is a predicted model, not a curated record. Lineage: Eukaryota; Metazoa; Arthropoda; Malacostraca; Decapoda; Penaeidae.
GCAGGUGGAGGUAACCAGGGAGCUUCUAACACCGGGGGCGGAACAACCACCCAGGGAACAGUUGACAGCGAUUCAAACACGGCAACUACCGCGUCCUCUGACAGUUCCAAUUCCGGUA